Molecule: long non-coding RNA, 294 nt
Filed under: Phoenix dactylifera (date palm)
Lineage: Eukaryota; Viridiplantae; Streptophyta; Magnoliopsida; Arecales; Arecaceae
Description: long non-coding RNA (PDAC_LNC016080)
Source: RNAcentral
AUCACCCUGAAUCCCCGCUCCAGCACGUACCCACUGCCCGUUCACCUUCUCAUAACCCAUGCGAAUAAGGGAUCGUGCAGUGUAUGUGUCAGUGAAAAGUAGAUGCCUGGAGAUCUCUCCCUCUACAGAUAUAUCAUGCUGUCGGAAGAUCAGGGUGAGUAUCAUACCAUAAGGCAGGGAGACUCUGGAGUUGCAUAUAACCUUUCUCAUCUGCCUCAGUAUCAUAGCCGGGAGAUUCAGGGGAAUGCCCUGAAUAAUGUGCUCCAUAACAACCAGAUCUCGCUCAGAAAUGAG